GCUCAUGACGGAGACACCCCUCUCAUGGAAGUUCAGACCGGUGAAGAAGGAGCACAAGAGGCUCGCUGGUCUGCUGACGGCGAUCCAACAGCUGAAGGCGCGAGGCCUCACCGGCAGCGGCGCCAUUGGCGCAUAUCACGCGAGGGGGGUUGCGCCCAUCAUGGCGCGGGCCCUCUCGCUGCACCAAAUGGGACUGUCCUGUCGUGGGUGGUGGCCAGGCCCUUAGAAAUCCAGCAACGGCUUAAGGAAGCAUUCGAGGUUCCUCCUCCGUAUCCCGACCCCCAGCAACCACCGAUGCUCCCGGAGGCCGGGGCCGUCGUUGUGGUCAGCUUUCACUUCUGUCCGACCCCAUGUUUCAUUUCCUCUUCUUCCUUUGUUCUUAAUUUUUCUUUUGCCGCUUGAUUUCCUAGAAUCUAACCUCUUUCUUCCUUUCCAAUGCGCCAUUGCCCGAGGAUGCUGCCGCGCAUGAGGCGAACCGGCUCGCCGCCGAGGCAAGGACGAAGGAGGAGAAGAAGAAGCUGAAGAAGAUUCAGUGAGAGCAGAGGAGACAUGACCUCACCAAGCACCGGAAGGCCGGCCUAAUCACCACGAAUGAGGAGGAGGAGAAGCUGAGCAAGUUGGAUGCCGACGAUGACGACGACGACGAUGGUGAUGACGACGUCAUGGAGGAUGAGGAGGAAGAAGAGGAUCCCAUCGAUUGGGGGCCCUGGCAUGCGGCGAUGAUGGUACCGAGGGAGAGCAAUUGUCCUCGGCCACGGUGAGGAAAGAUGUCCCUUCCUCGUCGCGGGGGAUCCCCGCCUGGGGCGGCGCCGCAUCCAGUGCGUGGCAGACGGUGUCAAGGGGGCAGAGCUCCUCCCCUUCCCGGAGGUCGGGGAGGGGCACCGAUCAGAAGGACGUGGAGGCCAGCGCCUCCCAUGCUGCAGCGGGAGUGCGGAGGGUGUCUUCCACUCUGUCACCGGCAAGUGACCUUGCUCGUUCCGGUGCGCUGCCCAACCCACGUCCGGCCGCGAGCACACUGGGGAAGCGCCAUGGCGGCACCGGACCGCCAUCUGCGGGGAGGAUCCCGAAGCGGUCCCAAUCGUCUUCAUCCUGGAGAUGCAGAUCCGAGAUCAGGAGUGCCUGUCCCUGCAGGCGAAGAACCAGGUGAUGGUGGAGGAGCACCAGGUGAUCGCGGAGGAGCUCGCCUUGGCCCGGCGGGCCCUGGAGGACGAGCACCAAGCGAGGGCGGCGGAGCUCAGCACGAUGCGCCAAAUCAUGGAGGACGCCCACGCCCAGUUGGUUGUUGUCGCCACGGAGCUCAAGCAGACCCGACAGGAGUGGGACGAGCUGUGUGGUGGGCUCUAGACCGCCACGCAGGAGUGCGAUGCCGUACGGAAGCGCGACACCACCAUACGGAAGCGCGACAGCACUGUCCGGGAGCGCGACACCGCGGUCGCAAGUGCUGGAGAGGCAUCGAAGUGAGAGAAGACCACGCUCGCGAGCCUCCAAGACGCUCGAGACGAGGCCGCCAGCCUCCGACAAGAGUUGGCCCGGGUCGAGGGCUUGAAGGAGGACGCCAAGGCGACAGUAGCCUCACUAGCCGUGGAAGUUGCCAAUGGUCGUGCCGCCCCGUUAACUUGGAGGGUUCCGUGUUACGUCUUUAGGACGAGGUAGCCGUAGCCGCGAACUCCCUGCACCAAUAGGCGGAGUCGGCGUUGUUGACGGUGCGGGAGCCGCUCGAGCGCGAGGUCACUGUCAACGACAACAUUCGUCUCGUGGCACGGAUCGUGACGGAGGACCUUGGCAUGAGUCCUGCCGAUGACCCAUGGCAGCUCGCGGCCCAGCUUGUCCAGGGUAUGGACGAGGCAUGAAAGGAGACCGAGACUGCGCGCCAGGAGGCGAAGGCCACGCAGUUCGUCGGGGUGCAGCGCGCCUUUGCCGUCGUGCGCAGCCAUUAUGCCAACAUUGCCCUGGACAAGCUGAGCCAGGGGUUCCCCUCUGAUGACACCGACCCCGGGCUCGACGCGAUCGAGGAAGAUGUUGCUCCGUUCGCCCGGACCCUGGUAGACAAGAUGCAGGAGGAUGACACUGAAGAUCACUAGGCCAGUCUCAGUGGGAGUGUUAUAGGAGUGUCAUGGACAUUAAAUUUGCCAACUUGUACCAAUAGUAUGAGGAGAGAUAAGGAGAGAGGAGAGAGGAGUGUCAUGAAAUGUGAGAGGAGUGUCAUCCACUGGCACAGUUCUCAAGUUUUUAGUCUUGGUAAAUGUGUCGAUGACACUCCCACUGAGACUGGCCUUAGAAAGGUCUGUUCAGGGUCGGGUUGUGUAAACUUUUGGUUUUAGUUGGGCGUUAUUGUAAGAACUUUAUGGUUGUUUGAAUAAGCGUUUGUUUUUCGCAACAAAA
Panicum virgatum (switchgrass) is the source of this 2382-nucleotide long non-coding RNA. RefSeq lists it as uncharacterized. The transcript has 4 exons. NCBI's taxonomy places the organism in Eukaryota, Viridiplantae, Streptophyta, Magnoliopsida, Poales, Poaceae. The record is from RefSeq and is a predicted model, not a curated record.